This 314-nucleotide small nuclear RNA is filed under the name Erinaceus europaeus (western European hedgehog). Its description in RNAcentral is "7SK RNA". It matches the Rfam family "7SK RNA". From Rfam's summary of the family: 7SK was discovered as an abundant small nuclear RNA in the mid-70s but a possible function has only recently been suggested. Two independent studies have found that 7SK RNA binds the CDK9/cyclin T complex (known as elongation factor P-TEFb). Lineage: Eukaryota; Metazoa; Chordata; Mammalia; Eulipotyphla; Erinaceidae. The record is from Rfam by way of RNAcentral.
GGAUGUGAGGCCGGUCUGUCACCCCACUGAUCGCGAGGGUUGAUUCAGCUGAUCUGGCCUGCUAGGUGGGUCCCCUUCCUCCCUCCUCGCUCCAUGUGCGUCCCUCCCCAAGCUGCAGGCUCGUUCAAAGAGGACGGCCUUCCCCAAAUAGAGACGGGCCUGUUUUUGGUCAAGGGUAUAGGAGUAGCUGCGUUCCCCUGCUAGAACCUCCAAACAGUGCACAGGGACCCAAGUUCAACCCCCCAGCCCCCACUUGUAGGAGGAAAGCUUCGCAAGUGGUGAAGCAGGGCUACAGGUGUCUGUCUUUCUCUCCU